UGACUAUUACUCGACCUAAUAUUUCAUUUGCUGUACAGAAGGCAGGUCAGUUUAUACUCACCAAUCUCAUUUAGCAGUUGUAUAACAUAUUCUUCGCUAUCUCAAGGGUACAUAUGGUCGAAGGUUACUUUUUUCCUCCUACAAAUUAUUACAGUUGACAUGUUAUAGUGAUGCUAACUAGGCUAGUCAUGUGGAUACUCGUCAUUCAG
This 209-nucleotide long non-coding RNA is filed under the name Olea europaea (common olive). RNAcentral describes it as "long non-coding RNA (OEUR_LNC002562)". Lineage: Eukaryota; Viridiplantae; Streptophyta; Magnoliopsida; Lamiales; Oleaceae. The record is from RNAcentral.